Capsicum annuum is the source of this 106-nucleotide non-coding RNA. The record is from Rfam. NCBI's taxonomy places the organism in Eukaryota, Viridiplantae, Streptophyta, Magnoliopsida, Solanales, Solanaceae.
AAUUCAUGGUUUGGGCAUUGCGUGAGUUUACCAUUGAACCUUUGACACACCUCAUAUAUGGGCUCACCACUAAGCUGAUAAAAAUUUGUGAUUUUGUAUCUUAGUU